This 399-nucleotide ribosomal RNA is filed under the name uncultured eukaryote. RNAcentral's name for it is "SSU rRNA". It matches the Rfam family "Eukaryotic small subunit ribosomal RNA", at positions 587 to 1003 of the family's 1831-position model. The record is from RNAcentral.
AGCUCCAAUAGCGUAUAUUAAAGUUGUUGCAGUUAAAAAGCUCGUAGUUGAAUUUCUGGUCAUUCUUAGUCUUGGCUUCGGUCGGGCUAAGGUUGGCCAUCCGUCUACAAGCUGCUCUCGGCCUUCACUGGUUCGGAGUAGUGAGUUGACAUUUUACUUUGAAAAAAUUAGAGUGUUUCAGGCAGGCUUUUGCCCGAAUACAUUAGCAUGGAAUAAUGGAAUUGGACUCCGGUUCAUUUGGUUGGUUAUUGAAUCUGAGUAAUGGUUAAUAGGGACAGUUGGGGGCAUUAGUAUUUAAUUGUCAGAGGUGAAAUUCUUGGAUUUAUUAAAGACUAACUUAUGCGAAAGCAUUUGCCAAGGAUGUUUUCAUUGAUCAAGAACGAAAUUAGAGAACCUGUG